CAGGGACUUGAGGUGGAUUGAAAAAGUUGAAAAAACUUUCACAUUCUUCAGUUUUAGUAAUUGGCUUAGCAUUCUUUGAUCCCUUCUUUGGCUUCUUCUUAAGGAGCUUCUGUGUCAAGCAUUUCCCUGGAUACCAUUCAAUCUCCGUCCUACAAAACAUCAGCCGCAAGAAAAAUUUAGAUCAUGCAAAGUAUAGUGAUAUGUAUCUCAACAUAAGUGCAAGGAAAGAAACACAAGUUACCCUAUAGCUUUCUCAAGAAUAGGCUCAUCUUCAUCAAUCAUGUGAUAGGUCUUUGUCAAGACAGUGUUCUUGAAGUAUGGAUUGGGGUCAAAGUAGAAUUCAAGCUUGAAUCCCUUUGGAUCAUCAAUCCUAAACCACUUAAUGUCUUUGAGAAACUUGAGAGCUCCUUC
This 411-nucleotide long non-coding RNA is filed under the name Citrus sinensis (sweet orange). Its description in RNAcentral is "long non-coding RNA (CSIN_LNC001756)". Lineage: Eukaryota; Viridiplantae; Streptophyta; Magnoliopsida; Sapindales; Rutaceae. The record is from RNAcentral.